AUUUUCCGGUUGAUCCUGCCGGGCCCGACUGCUAUCAGAGUGGGGCUAAGCCAUGCGAGUCAACGCCGCAAGGCGUGGCAUACGGCUCAGUAACACGUAGUCAACAUACCCAGGGGACGUGGAUAACCUCGGGAAACUGAGGAUAAACCGCGAUAGGCCAAGAUUUCUGGAAUGGAUCAUGGCUGAAACCUAUACGGCCUCUGGAUUGGACUGCGGCCGAUCAGGCUGUUGGUGAGGUAAUGGCCCACCAAACCUAUAACCGGUACGGGCUUUGAGAGAAGGAGCCCGGAGAUGGGCACUGAGACAAGGGCCCAGGUCCUAUGGGGCGCAGCAGGCGCGAAACCUCUGCAAUAGGCGAAAGCUUGACAGGGUUACUCUGAGUGAUGUCCGUUAAGGGCAUCUUUUGGCACCUCUAAAAAUGGUGCAGAAUAAGGGGUGGGCAAGUCUGGUGUCAGCCGCCGCGGUAAUACCAGCACCCCGAGUGGUCGGGACGAUUAUUGGGCCUAAAGCAUCCGUAGCUUGUUCUGCAAGUCCUCCGUUAAAUCCACCUGCUCAACAGAUGGGCUGCGGAGGAUACUACAGGGCUAGGAGGCGGGAGAGGCAAACGGUACUCAGUGGGUAGGGGUAAAAUCCACUGAUCCACUGAAGACCACCAGUGGCGAAGGCGGUUUGCCAGAACGCGCUCGACGGUGAGGGAUGAAAGCUGGGGGAGCAAACCGGAUUAGAUACCCGGGUAGUCCCAGCUGUAAACGAUGCAGCUCGGUGGAUGGGUUGGCUUCGGGGCCAACCCAGUGCCGCAGGGAAGCCGUUAAGUCUGCCGCCUGGGGAGUACGGUCGCAAGACUGAAACUUAAAGGAAUUGGCGGGGGAGCACCACAAGGGUGAAGCCUGCGGUUCAAUUGGAGUCAACGCCGGACUUCCGGUUGAUCCUGCCGGACUUCCGUUGAUCCUGCCGAUGAGUCACGCGGAUGAGUCACGCGACUUCGGUGAUCUGCGGAUGGAGUCACGCGGAUGAGUCACGCCGGAUGGAGUCACGCCGAAUG
This 1042-nucleotide ribosomal RNA is filed under the name uncultured archaeon. RNAcentral describes it as "partial 16S rRNA". It matches the Rfam family "Archaeal small subunit ribosomal RNA", at positions 1 to 1063 of the family's 1478-position model. The record is from RNAcentral.